RNAcentral lists this ribosomal RNA (497 nucleotides) under uncultured bacterium. Its description in RNAcentral is "partial 16S ribosomal RNA". It matches the Rfam family "Bacterial small subunit ribosomal RNA", at positions 28 to 507 of the family's 1533-position model. The record is from RNAcentral.
GAUGAACGCUGGCGGCGUGCCUAAUACAUGCAAGUCGAGCGAACGGACGAGAAGCUUGCUUCUCUGAUGUUAGCGGCGGACGGGUGAGUAACACGUGGAUAACCUACCUAUAAGACUGGGAUAACUUCGGGAAACCGUAGCUAAUACCGGAUAAUAUUUUGAACCGCAUGGUUCAAAAGUGAAAGACGGUCUUGCUGUCACUUAUAGAUGGAUCCGCGCUGCAUUAGCUAGUUGGUAAGGUAACGGCUUACCAAGGCAACGAUGCAUAGCCGACCUGAGAGGGUGAUCGGCCACACUGGAACUGAGACACCGUCCAGACUCCUACGGGAGGCAGCAGUAGGGAAUCUUCCGCAAUGGUCGAAAGCCUGACGGAGCAACGCCGCGUGAGUGAUGAAGGUCUUCGGAUCGUAAAACUCUGUUAUUAGUGAAGAACAUAUGUGUAAGUAACUGUGCACAUCUUGACGGUACCUAAUCAGAAAGCCACGGCUAACUACGUG